AUAGGAAUUGGUAUCUCGGGGUAGUAUAAGGAGGAUGGAAGAGGGGAAGAAAAUGCCAGACUGUGAGAGUUGUGAGCCGAGGGCCAGACUGUGAGAGUUGUGAGCCGAGGGCUAGACUGUAAGAGUUGUGAGCUGAGGGCCAGACUGCAAUAGUAUUGAGCCAAGGAUAAGCUUGGUGCUAUCUCUUCUUCUUAGUUUUCUUGUUUCUUUUGUAUUAGUGUUGAUUCUAAUGAAAAGAAUUGAUUUAAUGAAUUAAUGUUUGAUUUACAAAAUUAUUUAUGGAUCACUAUUUAUCAAUUGUUGUAAAAGAUUGAGGAUGUAUGGAAGUUUCCAGUCACUGUUUAUCGCAAGGUUGUAAGUUUAGUGGAGAAGAAUUGUAAUUGAAGGAAUUGUCUUGAUUAGAUUCUAUGGAUUGGAAGUUGUUCAUUCUAGGGUUUGGGAUAUGCUUGUAUAUUUGUGAAUUACACAAGGUACUGAAAUCGUUGUCGUGGAUGUUAUUAUAUUGAUAUGAGAGAGUGGACA
Molecule: long non-coding RNA, 522 nt
Filed under: Physcomitrium patens
Lineage: Eukaryota; Viridiplantae; Streptophyta; Bryopsida; Funariales; Funariaceae
Description: long non-coding RNA (PPAT_LNC013161)
Source: RNAcentral